AGUGAACGCUGGCGGUAGGCCUAACACAUGCAAGUCGAACGGCAGCACAGGAGAGCUUGCUCUCUGGGUGGCGAGUGGCGGACGGGUGAGGAAUACAUCGGAAUCUACUCUGUCGUGGGGGAUAACGUAGGGAAACUUACGCUAAUACCGCAUACGACCUACGGGUGAAAGCAGGGGACCUUCGGGCCUUGCGCGAUUGAAUGAGCCGAUGUCGGAUUAGCUAGUUGGCGGGGUAAAGGCCCACCAAGGCGACGAUCCGUAGCUGGUCUGAGAGGCAGAGUGGGCACACUGGAUCUGAGACACGGUCCAGACUCCUACGGGAGGCAGCAUUGGUGAAUAUUGGACAAUGGGCGCAAGCCUGAUCCAGCCAGACCGCGUGGGUGAAGAAGGCCUUCGGGUUGUAAAGCUCUUUUGUUGGGAAAGAAAUCCAGCUGGCUAAUACCCGGUUGGGAUGACGGUACCCAAAGAAUAAGCACCGGCUAACUUCGUGCCAGCCGCCGCAGUAA
This 506-nucleotide ribosomal RNA is filed under the name uncultured bacterium. Its description in RNAcentral is "partial 16S ribosomal RNA". It matches the Rfam family "Bacterial small subunit ribosomal RNA", at positions 29 to 523 of the family's 1533-position model. The record is from RNAcentral.